GACGAACGCUGGCGGCGUGCUUAACACAUGCAAGUCGAACGGAAAGGCCCUGCUUUUGUGGGGUGCUCGAGUGGCGAACGGGUGAGUAACACGUGAGUAACCUGCCCUUGACUUUGUGAUAACUUCAGGAAACUGGGGCUAAUACCGGAUAGGUGCUCCUGCUGCAUGGUGGGGGUUGGAAAGUUUCGGCGGUUGGGGAUGGACUCGCGGCUUAUCAGCUUGUUGGUGGGGUAGUGGCUUACCAAGGCUUUGACGGGUAGCCGGCCUGAGAGGGUGACCGGCCACAUUGGGACUGAGAUACGGACCAGACUGCUACGGGAGGCAGCAGUGGGGAAUAUUGCACAAUGGGCGGAAGCCUGAUGCAGCAACGCCGCGUGCGGGAUGACGGCCUUCGGGUUGUAAACCGCUUUCGCCUGUGACGAAGCGUGAGUGACGGUAAUGGGUAAAGAAGCACCGGCUAACUACGUG
Molecule: ribosomal RNA, 468 nt
Filed under: uncultured bacterium
Lineage: Bacteria
Description: partial 16S ribosomal RNA
Rfam family: Bacterial small subunit ribosomal RNA
Source: RNAcentral